Molecule: ribosomal RNA, 468 nt
Filed under: uncultured Streptococcus sp.
Lineage: Bacteria; Bacillati; Bacillota; Bacilli; Lactobacillales; Streptococcaceae
Description: bacterial SSU rRNA
Rfam family: Bacterial small subunit ribosomal RNA
Source: RNAcentral
GACGGGACCGCACAAGCAGCGGAGCGUGUGGUUUAAUUCGAAGCAACGCGAAGAACCUUUACCAGGUUCUUGACAUCCCGAUGCUAUUUCUAGAGAUAGAAAGUUACUUCGGUACAUCGGUGACAGGUGGUGCAUGGUUGUCGUCAGCUCGUGUCGUGAGAUGUUGGGUUAAGUCCCGCAACGAGCGCAACCCCUAUUGUUAGUUGCCAUCAUUCAGUUGGGCACUCUAGCGAGACUGCCGGUAAUAAACCGGAGGAAGGUGGGAUGACGUCAAAUCAUCAUGCCCCUUAUGACCUGGGCUACACACGUGCUACAAUGGUUGGUACAACGAGUUGCGAGUCGGUGACGGCGAGCUAAUCUCUUAAAGCCAAUCUCAGUUCGGAUUGUAGGCUGCAACUCGCCUACAUGAAGUCGGAAUCGCUAGUAAUCGCGGAUCAGCACGCCGCGGUGAAUACGUUCCCGGGCCUU